UACGUAGGGGGCGAGCGUUGUCCGGAAUCAUUGGGCGUAAAGCGCGUGUAGGCGGCUCGAUAAGUCCGGUGUGAAACCUUGGGGCUCAACCCCAAGCCUGCACUGGAUACUGCCGAGCUAGAGUCCGGGAGGGGAGAGCGGAAUCCUAGUGUAGCGGUGAAAUGCGCAGAUAUUAGGAAGAACACCGGUGGCGAAGGCGGCUCUCUGGGCAGUAACUGACGCUGAGGAGCGGAAAGCGAUGG
Molecule: ribosomal RNA, 242 nt
Filed under: uncultured bacterium
Lineage: Bacteria
Description: partial 16S ribosomal RNA
Rfam family: Bacterial small subunit ribosomal RNA
Source: RNAcentral